AUUGAACGCUGGCGGCAGGCCUAACACAUGCAAGUCGAGCGGUAGAGAGGUGCUUGCACCUCUUGAGAGCGGCGGACGGGUGAGUAAAGCCUAGGAAUCUGCCUGGUAGUGGGGGAUAACGCUCGGAAACGGACGCUAAUACCGCAUACGUCCUACGGGAGAAAGCAGGGGACCUUCGGGCCUUGCGCUAUCAGAUGAGCCUAGGUCGGAUUAGCUAGUUGGUGAGGUAAUGGCUCACCAAGGCGACGAUCCGUAACUGGUCUGAGAGGAUGAUCAGUCACACUGGAACUGAGACACGGUCCAGACUCCUACGGGAGGCAGCAGUGGGGAAUAUUGGACAAUGGGCGAAAGCCUGAUCCAGCCAUGCCGCGUGUGUGAAGAAGGUCUUCGGAUUGUAAAGCACUUUAAGUUGGGAGGAAGGGCAUUAACCUAAUA
RNAcentral lists this ribosomal RNA (435 nucleotides) under Pseudomonas sp. BTRH20. Its description in RNAcentral is "bacterial SSU rRNA". It matches the Rfam family "Bacterial small subunit ribosomal RNA", at positions 30 to 465 of the family's 1533-position model. Lineage: Bacteria; Pseudomonadati; Pseudomonadota; Gammaproteobacteria; Pseudomonadales; Pseudomonadaceae. The record is from RNAcentral.